Molecule: non-coding RNA, 21816 nt
Organism: Callithrix jacchus (white-tufted-ear marmoset)
Lineage: Eukaryota; Metazoa; Chordata; Mammalia; Primates; Cebidae
Source: RefSeq, a predicted model, not a curated record
UCGGCGGAAAUGCAUGCGCAUGCGCAUGCGCAUGCACUUCAGUGUGCACCCGCGCAACUGCGUGGUCCUGCUGUUCAGGUUUUCCAGAGCUUCUCAGGUAACUUGGCGGUCCCAGAUGUGAGACCUGCAGGCAAAUAGCAGUGGCAGACAGACGGGCGCGAUGAAUGGCGGCAGUGACAUUCCUCAGGCAGAGGUAGGCGGCUGUAGGCGGAAUAUGGGCAGCACCUGGCCCGAUUCUACGUGAGUGCGGCUCCGGCCCGGCUGCCCUCCCACGCCCCCAGCUGGAUCCCGAAGCCCUCUCUAGUCUGACUUCGGCCAAGCGCAGCUUCGGCUUGGGUCAGCCGGGUAAGAGGGUUUGAGGAAGCCUGCUGGGUGGUUGUGGACGUGUGCGGCGCGAGAGACGGAGCCCAUGAUGCCAGCUCGCAAGCGCGUUAGCCCAGCGUCCAUCGGAAUUAUUUUGUAUAUAUCCGGGAUCUCUUGUCUCUGUGGCGCUGGGUCGUCUGGCUGCAGAACUCAGCUGCAAUAGGUUGAAAGACGAGAAUAGUGGUGCCCUUUCCAGGGCUUCUUUGAGGAAGAAUUCUUUUUUGGGCUUCUUUGAGGAGGAAUUAUUUGCCAGUCCUAUAACUAAAACUUUUUUAUUGUGGACAGUAAGAUGUUUAAUUAUAAGGAAAGAGAGCAAUUAUUGCAUAGUUGAAGAAAAAGGGAGAGUAUCAUGAAGAAAGAAGGGAAAAGAAAUACAAUGAAUCGUGGGGUCUUUUGAAGCCUGUUUUUAGAAAAAUCCUGCUUGAUGGAGAUGUUGUUGUCCUGGCAUUGUGGAAAGUGUCUUUGAUGUUUGCCUCACUGAAAAAAUUGGUAUUGCAAGAAUAAAGUUUCAGCAACUUGUCGAUACUAGGGCCCCCGGGUAUUAACCAAGAGGAUGAAAGCAAGAGCAAGAUGACCGAAUUUGCUAAACUUGGGUUUUUAAAUUAAGACUGGAAGACUAUCGAAGAACUUUUGAAAUUUUAGAGUUUGUAAUCCCUUCGUGUCAUAGUCAAUGAAGGCUGAUUAGUGGAAGAUUAAUUUUCUUUCCUCAAGACUUUCUGGGAGAUCACUGGCCGUGAUCGUCAGCGGGACCUGUGGAGAAGAGUUGAGAUAGUCCUUGGUUAUUUAUUCCAUCUCAGAAGGCCCCUUGUCUCUGCCAGACUUUCUGGGAGAUCACUGGCCGUGAUCGUCAGCGGGACCUGUGGAGAAGAGUUGAGAUAGUCCUUGGUUAUUUAUUCCAUCUCAGAAGGCCCCUUGUCUCUGCCAGUUAACCCGAGCUUCUCAGGUAACCUGGCGGUCUGAGAUGUGAGACCUUCAGGCAAAUACCAGUGACAGACAGACGGGCGCGACAAAGGAUGGCAGCGACAUUCCUCAGGCAGAGGCAAUGCCUUCACAAAGCUCAAAAGAGAAAAGGUUCAAAAAUACAGCAAAACGAUUUCUUGUCUAUUCCACUACAACCCCCCAACUACAUGAAAAUUGAAAUAAUAGCGUAAGUGAAAAUGAGAACUGUGGAUGAAGAUAGAGGAGAUUCUCCACCAUGGAGGAAAUGAGUCUCUGAGAGAGCACUGCCCUUGAUCCUCAGCAGAAACUUGGGGGAGAGGUGGAGAAAGUCCUUGUGUCCUCAUGAGCCCACCCCAGGCCCCUUGGCUCUGGUGAGUGGUGACCACUCUCAAACACCUGGGCUCCAGCCACACAAUCUCCUUUCUCUUCGGGUGUCCAUGUACAUUGAAAUCUCAGAGUUCCGGCUUCUUCUGCAGAUUCAAAGAGACAGGACCUGUGAGAUGUUACUGAAAGAAGAGGGUGGAUUCUUCUGGAACACUGCGCUGUCUUCAUUUUGAACUCUGAAACUGUGAAACCAAGAUAUGAGAAUAGUUUCUGGGACAUCAGUGGCUGUGAUCCUCAGCAGGACCUGUGGAGAAGAGUUGAGAUAGUUCUUGGUUCUUUAUUCCCGCUCAAAAAACCUGUUGCCUCUGCCAGUUAGAAAGACCUAUUUACGGUGAGAACAACCCAGGAUUGGAGCUCGCAUUGAAUCCGCAACGAUCCACAAGAUUGAUAGAAGUUCUACUCUGUCACCACCUAAGAAUCAACAUCUGGCUGGGCGCGGUGGCUCACGCCUAUAAUCCCAGCACUUUGGGAGGCCAAGGCGGGUGGAUCACGAGGUCAAGAGAUCGAGACCAUCCUGGUCAACAAGGUGAAACCCAGUCUCUACUAAAAAUACAAAAAAAUUAGCUGGACAUGGUGGUGCGUGCCUGUAGUCUCAGGUACUCAGGAGGCUGAGGCAGGAGAAUUGCUUGAACCCAGGAGACGGAGGUUGUGGUGAGCCGAGAUCACGCCAUUGCACUCCAGCCUGGGUAACAACAGCGAAACUCCAUCUCGAAAAAAAAAAGGAAUCAACAUCUAACUUACAGUACUAUUUAAAUUUCCCCAAUUGUCCAAAAGAAUGUCCUUUUAGCUGUUUUUAAAUCCAUCCAAUCAGGUUUUAUGCAUUUUGUUUCUAUGCUUCUUUAGUCUCUUUUAAUCUAGAACAUUCUCACUGACUUGCUAUGAUAUUUUUUUAUGUUUUUUGAAUUUGUCAUGCAUGAAGCUCCAAAAAUGAAAAUUCUUAGCUUGGUGUGUACUAGGAAUUGAAAGGAAGUCAGUAUAUCAGGUUUUUCUGCAUCACAUGAUACCCUUUCUGCCCCACCUCUUCAUCCAGCCAUUACUGAGGUGACCAGGUCCAGACAGUUUCUCACUAGUUUCAUUCAGGUGUACACAGUGUCUUUUUUUCAUAUCUAUCUUUCCAGUACCUUCCUCUUUCCGGCACUGGGCUUCUUUGAGCUGGUGGAAUAAGACGCCUGCAGAAAUCUUCUCAGCACCCAUACAUCUGGAAACCAAAAUUGGGAAGACUUCAUGCCAAUAGGAUAACUUUUUAACAACUGGGGAUGGUGGCAAAUGGAUAAAUGCUUCAUUUCAUCUUCUAGGCAGAGAGUACUAAAAAACAUUUCAUAUUUGGGGGGAAAUGGUGGAAACAAACUUUUUUUCCAGAGAAAGUCAUAGACGUUGGACCCUCAUAAUGGGAGGCGAAAUCUCUUAUUGGGCAGAUCACAGUAAAGAGCCAUUGCUGGAGAACACUGACAUUGAUCCUCAGGAGGAUCUGGGCAGAGAAGUAGAGAACAUUCCUGCAUGAACCUGCCCCACACUGGGCUGCUUGGCUCUGCCAGGUAAUAGUAAGUGGCCAACACUGUUACAGCUUUGCCCAUCCACUCCCACGAUGUUCUGUGAAGAUGGUUCAAGUGUGAAGAGAUGUCUCCCUGAUCUCAAUGUCUGUCUGCAAUUGAGGGAGAUGACCAUACUCCUCAUUGUUGAGAAGUUCCUCUAUAGGAUCCCCAGAGCCUCCUAACAGCAUGAUCUCUCCUCACCCUUUCCCCUACACGUGGUCAUUUUAAAAACCACCAAAUUUCCCAGGAUUUGGCUCUUCCUUUAAGGGGGAAAAGAGGAAGUGGUCAUCCCCAUGAAGGCCCAAGGAACUUGAUGGGAGGCAUCCAGAAAUCAAGGAGAAUAAACCUUCUUGGGACUCCAGGAGUGGGUUAUAAGGUCCCUGGAAUGUUUGAGAAGACAUUAGGUACAGUGUCCUUCUAUAGCAUGUUGUUGACGUCAGAGACUCUGAGACAAAAUCCUUACCCAAUCUCCGAUGACUCACUGUGCUGAAAUCUUAGAUAGCUGUUUACAGCCACACAGGGCCCAUCUCAGGUGUCAUUUUGAUCGCUCAUCCUCUCUUCCCGUGUUCACUGUCACAGCAAACUCCAACCUUACUCAUGGGAGAAACAGUGUCUCUGAAACUUUGAUUCACAUGGACACCAAGAGAAAGGAGAGGGUAUAGCUAGAGCCCAGGCGUGUGACAGACAGAUGACAGCAGCCCUCACCUGGCAGAGCCAAGGGGCCUAGCGUGGGGCAGGUUCGUCAAGGACUUUCUCUACCUCUCUCCCCGAUCACCCUGAGAAUCAAGGUCAGUGCUGUCCCAGAAUCUUUAAAGACAAAAAAAGAUUACCUUCUAGAGCUAAUCUCUUUUCCAAGAAUCCCCACCUUAAUUUUUUUAACCAUUGUACAAAUUUGGAAAAUGUACAUCUUCCAGGUAGAUUCUUGACAGUGGAGAAAAAGCUUGAGAGGCAUAAAGACUUGGCUUUUCAAUCACGAUUCCUCAUUCCAUCAUCCUUGUCUAUGCAUUUCCUGGUAACUCAGUCCACAGCCUGGUACCUCUCCCACUGUCAUUUUGGUGUGCUACAGACACAGACCUGCAAACGGCUUUGGUUGUGACUGAGUUUCUUCCUGAUACCUGAGUCUUUCUCACCCUGCAAGGAAAGCUUGCUGGGAGGAACCUGGAAUCAGAAAUGAAGUCAGAGGGCAUGAUUGACAGGGACUGUUUAAAUGCUGCAACUCAGAGAUUCACACAGAAGACCAGACAGAAUUCUGAAAAGUUGCCCAGAGGAAGCAAAAAUGUCAGAGCUACAGGUGAGUUGAAAAGGCACAGCCUUCAAUAAUCUCAAGUCACAUAAACAAAGAAACACUAGAUUUUAUAAGAUGAAAAGGUGAGCAUUUCUACUGUGACUGCUUUACUGAGAGUUGUAUAUUUAUGGAUUAGAGACCCUGAGAGUAUGGAAUCUGAGAUACUUGUGAGGUGUGGGGUGUGGACCCUGGACCAGUGUAACCAUCUCUGAGUGUGUGAUGGUGUCUGAUGAGAGUGAACUCUGCUGAGAUGAUGUGACUUUAGGGGGGAGGUGGAUGACCCACCAGAAUGGGCAGGUGUGUGAGUGAGUGUAAGGUGAGUUGCUUUAUCUUCAUGACUGUGAAGUGUGUGUGUGUGUGUGUGUGUGUGUGUGUGUGUGAGCACAGCUCAAGUGCUUGAGCAUCUGUAUAUUCAUGUUCAGCAGGUGUGUGCGACUGUGGGUGUAUGUGCUGGGACAUGACUGGGUGUUGAACUGGAAACAUGCACGUGGCCUUCUGUGCAUGUGAAGUUUCCUCCGCACACAGCAGCACGUCUGAUGAAGCAGCUGUGCAGCCUCCCCUGUGUGUCCACGUUGGUCCUGGGUGGCAAAACUGGUGGGGAUUUGAGAACUGGGAGUUACUGAGACUCACGUUCAACCAUUCGUGAGACCAGAAUAUAUGAUCUGUAGAUGUCUCUUUCCAAUAAGUGUGGGGAAGAGGAGUGCAGACCAUGGGGUUGAUGGUUCCUCAGGUGGGGUCUGCACAGAGUGACCACCGGCUUCUGCCUCCCAGCCUCACAUCUCUUCCUGUCCCUCAUCACAGCCUGUCCUUCCCAUUGUAGGACAGUAGGGUGGGCAGAUCCUGGCUUGCUAGCAAAGAACAUUGGAGGCCCUCGUUUCAGAGCCUGGAUCACCCAAAACCAGGGAACAAGUGUAGUCUUAGUUAAGACAGAGCUUACAGUGGAUAGUAAUAAGAAAAAUGCAGGAGGCUGGGGCAGGAGAAUUGCUUGAACCCAGAGGGCAGAGGUUGCAGUGAGCUGAGAUCAUGCCACUGCACUCUAUCCUGGUGACAGAGUGAGACUCCAUCUCAAAAAAGAAAAAAAAGAAAACGAAAAAGAAAGAUGUGUAGGAUCACUGACUCAUGCCUACAAUCUCACCACUUUGGGAAGCCAAAAUGGGUGAAUAACUUAAAGCCAAAAGUUUGAGACCAGCCUGAGCAUUAUAGUGAGACUCAGUCAAAAACUUUAAAUAUCAGAUGGGCAUAGUGUUGGUCACCUGUCAUCCCAGCUAUUUAGGAGGCAGAGGCAGGAGGAUCCUGCAGCCCAGGAGUUCAAGGCUUCAGUGAGCUAUAAUUGUACCACUGUACUUCAGCCUGGAUGAAAGAGCAAGACCCUGUCUCGAAAAAACACACACAAAAAACACUUGUCAUCAUUGCAGAAAUCAAUCAUUCCCUCCAUUUAUGUCCCUGACCCAAACUUUUCAUGUGUGCAAGUCCCGGGGCUGUGCUCUCAGCAACAUGGCCCCUUCCGGGAAGGACGUCCAUGGCCUGUGAUGAUUGUGAUGCAUGCACCUCCCGCACAGGAUUUCAUGUUAUUUUAUUGUUUCCCUCUCUCUCUUUCAACAAGUAUUUUUUUUUUCUCACUGGCGUGAAUUUAUCUACUGUUACAUCCUCAAGUCUUGUCUUCACAGUUUCAGAGUUUAAAAUGAUCACAGGUCAGUGUUCACAAGGACUCUCCCUGUUCUACUGAGUAACCCCCAACAGGCCCUAUACGUGGCAGAGAUCAGGGUAAAAGUUUCACAUAUAUUAAUUCAUCUGUUAGUGUGCAAACUCUAUAAAGUAAAAAUCCCUGCUUAUCCUCCUUGUCCUGGUGAAACUGAGUCAGGGAGAGUUCAAAUAAUGGAUCUAACAUGGCACUGCUGAUAAGGGGCAGAAUCAGAACUGGAAUCCAGGCAGCCUGGCUCCUGAAUGCUUGCUUUUACCUAUGGGUCCCCCUUUUCUUCAGGAAAGCAGGGCCCUGACUGUGCUAGAGUGGGAAGGGGGAGGCCUCAAAGUCUGUCCAUUGAUUCUAAACUGCUACACCAUAGGAAUCUGUUAUACGAGGGGAGGCUGCACCUUGCCCAGCCCCUCACCCACUCUCAAACCCCUGGCAGGUGCUGUCCGUACACACAGCCUGUGUCCUUGUCUAUUGGCUCUUGUGUGAGAAUCCGAGGGAUACCAAUGCUCUCUUUUAUGUAAUGGUAAAUAGCAAAUACUGUUACCGCUUUGCCCAUCUACUCCCACUAUGUUGUAUGAGGAUGCUGCGAGUGUGUAGAGAUGUCUCUGUGACCUCAGUGUGUGUCUCGAUGGAGGAAGAUGACCACGCUCCCUGUUGCUGAGGAAUCCCUAUUCCUGUGUGACCAUGGCAUUCUGGUAACAGAAUGAUCACUCCUCACCCCUUCCUCUACACUUGGUCGCUAAAACCACCAAAUUUUCAAAGAUUUGGCUGUAUUUUAAUGGGGAAAAGGUCAAAGUGAAACAAGGACACAAGUGACACAAUAAGUGAGUCACAAGGCCACUGGAAUGUCUGAGAUGACAUAAUGAGAACAUCCUCUGCAGCCCAUAAUUUACGUCAGACACUCUGAACCAAAACUAUUCCUUCAUUUUAGAUGACUCACUGCAGUAAAAUGUUAGGUAGCUGUUUACAACCACACAGGCAUAAUUGGCUUCGGGGAGAAACUGCAAUUUGAGGAAAGUCAGUUGAAAUAUCUUAAUUCUUCACUCAUUCUAAGGAUGUUUAUUGUGUCUGAAUACUGUGCCUGACUUUGUACAGGAUAUACUGAAGAAACCACAGGAAAAAGUAACCAAAUCUGCACCUGAAAUUUUGUCAUUGUUGUUUUUCGAGAUAAGGUUUUACUCUGUCAUUCAGGCUGGAGUGCACUGGUGCCAUUAAGGCUCACUGCAGCCUCAACCUCCUGAGCUCAAAAAAUUCUCCUGCCUCAUUCCACCAAAUAGGUGAAACCACAGGUGUUCACCACCGUGCCCAGCUAAUUUCUGCAUUUUUUAUAGAGAUGGAGGUUUGCCAUGUUGCCCAAGCUGGUGUCAAACUCCUGAGGUUAAGCAGUCCACCCACGUCACCCUCCCAAGUUGCUGGCAUUACAAAUGUGAGCUGCUGUGCUUGGCCUGUACUUGAAAAUUUCAAUCCAAAACAGAGAGAAUCACUGGAGUUCAAUGAUUUCCUCAAAGAAGCACCUUUUGUCAUAUUUCAAAAGAACUGCCAGAUUUUUCCAUUUUAUGUGGGCGGAAUCCUGGGACUCCUUUUUAGAGAUACAUUAUCAUAGUUGUAGAUCAGAAAAUAUGUAGUUUAUUGCUGGAAUGAACACAAUUCAUUCACAUGGACACAGGGAGCUGACCCUGCUUUGCUGCUGCUACGGUUGGCAUUACAGCAUAGGAAACCUUCCCAACACAUAUUUUCAUAAAGUAAUCAUUUAUUCUGAUCUCUCCAGCUUUGCAGGUUUACUGGGCUCAUGUGAGUGGUAGGUCAUGUGGUGAGAGUCACAUUUUCUGAAGGAUCUACAGGCUGGGAUCCCAGGGGAUUCUUCACUUGUUUUGACUUCACACUAAGGGUGGGUGAACACCUGGGGGCUAGCUGGUGAUCUCCUUCCCUAUCUCCCCUCCGAAUUAGUGUCUUGAAUUUUCUGAAAUCAUGAAGACCUCAUAGUUGUUGGACUUAAUCAAUGAUGACUGUCUUCCACCAAAGAAAGGCUUUCAAAAAACCCAAGAAGAAGGUGCAAGGCAUCAUAGGUCUUGGCUUUGAAAAUUGGACAGUGUUACUUCUAUGACAUUAUAUUGACCAAGAUGAGUCACACCGACAGCUCAAAUCAAGGGGAGGGGGCUCCACAAGCUGUGGUUGUUUUGAUUAUUUGUCAUAAUGGGGUCGUUUUUGGAACCAAGUUCCACUCAGUCUUCACUGGCUUACAUACUGUUCACACACCAAGAGCAGUAACCCUGUAAACAACUAUGGAAAGCAAUACCAUUAUAGGAAAAGGCUCAGAGUGAAGUCCAGCGUCUUAUCAUCUAAUCAGGACCUGGUGUCCACGAGGUGACUACAAAUUACCAGGUGUACUUUCUCUGAACAUAUGCACUAAUGGGUCAAAUUAUUGAUGCUAUACACAUCAAACAUGCAAUACUGAAACAGACAUCAGAAGAAUGCAAUUCACACAUCUAUUGUAAGCAUUAUUUGAAAAAGAGAAGAAAAAGAAUUUUACAUCAAAAGGACAAGAAAAUAAGAAAAAGAAUUCUUUGAAGAGGGGCAAAAGAAAAUAGACAGCAGUCACUGGGCCAUGUUAUUGCUUAAACCAGCCAGACACCUAUUUAUUAUUUUAUCUUGGAAUGUUUCUCUGCAGCAAUUGGCUCCACCCUCUAUUCUCAGCUUCUUAGAGUUUCUACCAAGAUGGCAGAAUGACAGUCCUUUUUACUUCUCAAGAGCUAUGAUCAUCUGCUUCACAGCAAAUCUGGAGGACCAUGUAGGAGAAACAACACGUUACCUACAAACUAAUGAAGGAUGUUUGAAGAAGGUCCUGUCAAAUAGCCCUUUUUUCCACAUGGCCCAUCCCAGGCUUCAUUUUCAUUAUCCUUAUCUUCUUUUCACGUGUUCAUUGCCACAGCUUGUUCACCACCAGCCUUCCUCAUGGGUAUGCCCCUUUCCUUACCCUCAUUUAACCUAGCAUCUGGAUACCUUCAGGUGCCAACACACAGUAAGUUCUCUUCAUGCCUUUCUUCCAACUUUCAUUCCCAUAUGUAAUAAAAUUCCCUCCUCUCACUGGACACUCGGGUGUGGUUUAAAUACACUCUCCUCCUUACACCUUUCUGGUCUCAGUGUUGUUCACUUCUCUAUUUUGUUAAUAGAUCAUAGGCCUCAUCACCUGUAUGGAAUUCAUUUUUUGUGGAAUUAAGCGAUUCUUGAUCUGAGUGGAUGAAAAGAAUCCUGGGACCCAUGGCUUACUAAUCAGUCUAUAUGACUUUAAUUUCAUAUAGACUUUUCCCUUGGGUAGUGGCUACUGCAUUUGAAUAGUUUGCACAGUCCCACGUGUUGGCCCUCUUAGAUAGACACACAGUGAUUGCCCUUUCUUGAAUGGAUUAAGUUUCUUUGUUUAUGUUCUGUCUGGAAGAUCUGUUCAAUGCUGGAAGCGAAAUGUAGAAAUCUCCGGUUAUUAUUGUAUUGAGGCCUGUUUCUCUCUUUAGCUCUAAUAAUACUUUAUAUACCGGGGUGCUCCAGUGUUGGGUGCACAUAUAUUAUUAUAUCCUCUUACUGAAUUGAUGCCUUUGUCAUUAUAUAUUAACCUUAUUGUCUCAGAGUUUUUCUCUCAAAAUCUAUUUUUGUCCAAUAUAAGUAUAGUUACUCCUGUUCUUGUUUCAUUUCCAGUGGCAUGCAGUAUCUUUCUCUAUUCUUUUCUCUUGUCUACGUGUGCUUUUAUAGGUGAAGUGUGUUUCUUGCAGGCAACAGAUCGAUUGCUCUUGUUUCUUCACCCAUUCAGACACUCUGUGUAUUUUGAUUGGAGAGUCUAGUUCAUUUACAUUUAAUGUUAUCAUCAAUAAGUAAGUAAAGACUUAGUCCUGCUAUUUUGUUAUUUGAUGUCUGGUUGUAUUUUGGUCUUCUCUUCUUUUGCUCCCUCUUGUCUUCCCCUACUAAAGAUUAUUUCAUCUGGUGAUAUAGUUUAGUUUCUUAUUUUUUAUUUUUUGUGCAUCCAUUAUAUAUUUCUUGGUUGAAGGUGACCAUGAGGCUUGCAAAUACUAUCUUAUAACUCAUUAUUUUAACCAGAUAACUACUUGGCACUGCUUACAUAAACAAACAAGCAAAAAGAAAACUCAUAGAAACUCUACAACUGACCUUCAUUCCCCUGCUGUUUAACUUUUUGUUGUUUCUACUUAUAUCUUGUGCUGUCUAUAUCUUCAAAAGUUGUAGUUACUAUUUGUAUUGGUUGAUUGUUUCAUCUUUCUAUUUAGGAUAUGAGUAGUUCACACACCACAGUUACAGUGCUACAGUAUUCUGUGUGUUUCCACUAAGAAGUCGGCCGGCAAAUGUGUGGCAGCUGCAUUGUAUGCUAUUUUUUUUCUCUUGGGCUUUUAGGAUCUUUCCUUUGCCCUUGACCUUUAAAAUUUUGAUUGCUAAGUGGCUGGAGGUAGUCGUCUUUGGUUUAAGUCAGCUUGGUGUUCUACAACCCACUUGGACUUGGAUGUUGAUCUCCUUUUCUUAGUUUGGGAAGUUUUCUGUUAUUAUCCCUUUGAGUAAACUUUCUACCACUAUUUCUUUCUCUACUUCUUCUUUAAGGACAAUAAUUCUUAGGUUUGUGCUUUGGAAGCUAUUUUCUAGAUCCUAAAGUCAUGUUUACGUUUUCCCCUUGGUAAAGUAGAGAAAAAGCUAAAAGGGAGUUUGCCUUGCACCUUAGGUACCAGCAUAGCCAGAAGGGAGUAGAGCACCAGGCAGGCUCUUGGGGUUCCUAAUUCCAGGACUUGGUUCUUGAAUGACAUCUAUUUACCUGCUCUGGGCCAGAGGGGAGUUCACUCCCCUGUGGGGUGAGUCCAAGGCCAGGCAGCAUUCACUAUAAGUUGACUUAAGUGCCCUUGGGCCUUAAGGGAACAUCUGUGGUAGUCUGGCAGUACUCUCUAUGGUGGUGGUGGCUAUGGGGUGACAACUGCCUUUGUUGUUUUCUAUCCUUUCCUCUUUUGUCUCCUCUGGCUAUGUAUUUUCAAAUAGGCUGUCUUCAAACUCGCUAAUAUUUUCUUCUGCUUGAUCAGUUCUGCUGUUAAAGACUGAUGCAUUCUUCAGUAUGCCAAUUGCAUUUUUUGAAUUUUAUUUUACUUUAAGUUCUGAGAUACCUGUGCGGAAUGUGCUGAUUUGUUACAUAGGUAAACAUGUGCCAUGGUGGUUUGCUGCACCUGUCAACCUGUCACCUAGGUAUUAAGCCCCGCAUGCAUUAACUAUUUGUCCUGAUGCUCCCCCUCCCUUUGCCCUUCAACAGGCUGCAGUGUGUGUUGUUCCCCUCCCUGUGUCUAUGUGUUCUCACUGUUCAGCUCCCACUUAUGAAUGAGAACAUGCAUUGUUUGGUUUUCUGUUCCUGUGCUAAUUUGCUGAAAAUAAUGUCUUUCAGCUUCAUCCAUGCCCCUGCAAAGGACAUGAUCUCAUUCCUUUUUAUAGCUGCAUUUUGCAGCUCCAGAAUUUCUGUUGGAUUCCUUUUAGUUAUUUCAACCUCUUUGUUAAACUUAUCUAAUAAAAUUCUGAAUUCCUUCUCUGCGUUAUCUUAAAUUUCUUUGAGCUUUCUUAACAUCACUAAUUUGAAUUUUCGGUCUGAAAGGUCACUUACCUGUUUCUCCCUGGUGCUUAUUUGGUUUAUACGCUUUCCUGGAUGUUGUUGACACUAGCAGAUGUCCUUCAGUGUCUGAGAAUUAAAUAGUUAGGUAUUUGUUGUGGUCUUCACUGUCUGGGCUUGUUUGUACCUGUCCUUUUGGGGAAGGCUUUCACGUAUUCAAAAGGACUUGAGUGUUGUGAUCUAACAGGAGAAUUCUCUGGAUUACAAGGCAGAGCUUCUUAUUCUUUUCCCUUUCUUUCUCCCAAACAUACAGCGUGUGUGUGUGUGUGUGUCUGUGUGUGUGCGUGUCUGUGUGUGUGUCUGUGUGUGUGCGUGUCUGUGUGUGUGUCUGUGUGUGUGUGCGUGUCUGUGUGUGUGUGUGUGUCUGUGUGUGUGCGUGUCUGUGUGUGUGUGUCUGUGUGUGUGUGUGUGUCUUCUGAGACACCUAAAGCUGGGGAUGGAGUGAGACAAGCACCACUGUGGCCACUACCACUAUGACUUGAUCUUACCUAAAGUGAGCACAGCACUGGGUCCCCCUGAAGGCCUGCUGUAACCAAUACCUGCUUACAGCCUAGGUUCACUCAAGGCACAGAGCCCUAAGGCUCUAGAAUUAGCAUGCAGCAAAGCCAGCCACUUCUGUGUGCUUUUCUUCAGGGUGGUGAGUUCCCACAGGCCUGGGGUGGUUCCAGAGGUGCCACCUGGAAGUCAAGGACUAAAGUAAAAAAUCUUAGAGGUCUUUGUGGUGUUUUAUUGUACACUCAAACCCCAAGAUUCAGUUCUUUCUACUCUCCCCGUCAUUUCCAAAGGCAGUUGUCACCCCAUAGCCACCACCACCAUAGAGAGUACUGCCAGACUACCACAGAUGUUCCCUUAAGGCCCAAGGGCACUUAAGUCAACUUAUAGUGAAUGCUGCCUGGCCUUGGACUCACCCCACAGGGGAGUGAACUCCCCUCUGGCCCAGAGCAGGUAAAUAGAUGUCAUUCAAGAACCAAGUCCUGGAAUUAGGAACCCCAAGAGCCUGCCUGGUGCUCUACUCCCUUCUGGCUAUGCUGGUACCUAAGGUGCAAGGCAAACUCCCUUUUAGCUUUUUCUCUACUUUUACCAAGGGGAAAACGUAUUGCCCAUAGCCACCACAGCAAGUCAUGUGCUGAGUCCCAUCAGAAGCCAGCAGAUCUCGGAGACUCAGCAGAGGCCCUCCGCAUAGUGCCUGGGUAUUGCUGGUGGUUAUUCAGAGCCAAAGAGCUCUUCAUUAGCAGGUGAUAAAUCCUUCCAGGAAUGGGUCCUUCCUUUAAGGGCAGCACGUUCCCUUCUGGUCCAGGCUGUGUCUAGAAAGCUCAUCUGGGAGCUAGGGCCUGGAAUGGGGGCCUCAUGACUCUGACUGGUACCCUAUCCUGCUGUGGCUGAGCUGAUAUCCGAGAUGUAAAAUAAAGUCUUCCCCACUGCUCUCUCUCCUCUCCACUCCUCAAGUGAAAGGAAGGGGUCUCUUUUGGAGCCACAGCUGUGCAUCCUGGAGUUAGGGGAAAGGUACUGCCAGCACUCCAUUAGUCACCCAAGCUGCUGUCUCAGCAGGUCUCCAGACCCCCUGAUGCCCAGUCCACUGUCUCUGGCCUGAGUUAAUCCCCAAGACUCACCUAAGAGAUUCUGUCCUUAUGACCUCGACUGUCUUUCAACGUUAUUUGGAAACCCAGAGCACUGUAGCCCUUACUGGUAAGGUUUACAGGAAGUCAAGUUUCAAUUGCUAAGAUCAGGGAUUUUCCUCUGGCUAGGGCUGGCUUAAAUGCUCCCUUCAUUAGUGUGUGUCAGCUGAGCUUAAUCUAAUUUUCUCUUCCUCUGUAACAGGACAGCAAUGACUCCAGUGCCUCACAAUUGCUGUGCUCUCCCUCCCCCAGUACCCAGAGACUCCACGCCACAGCACUGCUGCCCAGAUGAAGGAGUGGCAUUGGCAAUUCAAGACUGUUUUUUCUAUCUCUUUCAGUGAUAUAGAGUUAAAACCAGGUAUCUCUGAGGACUCAGCUGCUUUUUGAUUCAUAUGGAGGUGUUUUCCUGUAUAGAUAUUUGUUAAAUUCACAUCCUUCAGGGGUGUGGGUGAGAUUGGUGAAGGCUUUUAUUUUAUUUUAUUUUUUUAAUUUUGUAUUGGAUUUUAGGUUUUGGGGUACAUGAGCAGAGCAUGCAAGACAGUUGCGUAGGAACACACAUGGCAGUGUGCUUUUCUUUCCUUCUCCCCUUCACCCACAUUUGGCAUUUCUCCCCAGGCUAUCCCUCCCUACCUCCCCCUCCCACUGGCCCUCCCCUUUUUCCCCCAAUAGACCCCAGUGUUUAGUACUCCCCUUUCUGUGUCCAUGUGUUCUCGUUUUUCAUCACCCGCCUAUGAGUGAGAAUAUGCGGUGUUUCAUUUUCUGUUCUUGUGUCAGUUUGCUGAGGAUGACGUUCUCCAGAUUCAUCCAAGUCCCUACAAACGACACAAACUCAUCAUUUCUGAUUGCUGCAUAAUAUUCCAUGGUGUAUAUGUGCCACAUUUUUCCAAUCCAGUCUAUUAUCAGUGGGCAUUUGGGUUGAUUCCAGAUCUUUGCUAUUGUAAACAGUGCUGCAAUGAACAUUCGUGUACAUGUGUCCUUAUAGUAGAACGAUUUAUAGUCUUUUGGAUAUAUACCUAGUAAUGGGAUUGCUGGGUCAAAUGGAAUUUCUAUUUCUAAGGCCUUGAGGAAUCGCCACACUGACUUCCACAAUGGUUAAACUAAUUUACACUCCCACCAACAGUGUAAAAGUGUUCCUUUUUCUCCACAUCCUCUCCAACAUCUGUUGUCUCCAGAUUUUUUAAUGAUCGCCAUUCUAACUGGUGUGAGAUAGUAUCUCAAUGUGGUUUUGAUUUGCAUCUCUCUGAUGACCAGUGACGAUGAGCAUUUUUUCAUAUGAUUGUUGGCCUCAUAUAUGUCUUCUUUCAUAAAGUGUCUGUUCAUAUCCUUUGCCCACUUUUGAAUGGGCUUGUUUGUUUUUUUCCUGUAAAUCUGUUUGAGUUCUUUGUAAAUUCUGGAUAUCAGCCCUUUGUCAGAUGGGUAAACUGCAAAAAUUUUUUCCCAUUCUGUUGGUUGCUGAUCCACUCUAGUGACUGUUUCUUUUGCCGUGCAGAAGCUGUGGAGUUUCAUUAGGUCCCAUUUGUCUAUUUUGGCUUUUGUUGCCAAUGCUUUUGGUGUUUUGUUCAUGAAGUCCUUGCCUACUCCUAUGUCCUGGAUAGUUUUGCCUAGAUUUCCUUCUAGGGUUUUUAUGGUGCCAGGUCUUAUGUUUAAGUCUUUAAUUCAUCUGGAGUUAAUUUUAGUGUAAGGUGUCAGGAAGGGGUCCAGUUUCUGCUUUCUGCACAUGGCUAGCGAGUUUUCCCAACACCAUUUGUUAAACAGGGAAUCCUUUCCCCCUUGCUUGUUUUUGUCAGGUUUAUCAAAGAUUGUAUAGUUGUAGAUAUGUUGUGUUGCCUCUGGUGCCUCUGUUUUGUUCCAUUGGUCUAUAUCUCUGUUUUGGUACCAGUACCAUGCUGUUUUGAUUACUGUAGCCUUGUAGUAUAGUUUGAAAUCCGGUAGUGUGAUGCCCCCCGCUGUUUCUUUUUGCUUAGAAUUGACUUGGCUAUGCGGGCUCUCUUUUGGUUCCAUAUGAAGUUCAUGGUGGUUUUUUCCAGUUCUGUGAAGAAAGUCAAUGGUAGCUUGAUGGGGAUAGCGUUGAUUCUGUAAAUUACUUUGGGCAGUAUAGCCAUUUUCACGAUAUUAAUUCUUCCUAACCAUGAACAUGGAAUGUUUCUCCAUCUGUUUGUGUCCUCUCUGAUUUCGUUGAGCAGUGGUUUGUAGUUCACCUUGAAGAGGUCUCUUAUGUUCCUUGUGAGUUGUAUUCCAAGGUAUUUUAUUUUUUUUGUAGCGGUGAAGCCUUUUAUUCUGCCAUCUUGCAAAGCCUACCCAAAUUUUGGUGAAAUUAAUUUCAUCUGUUGUUUCUUUGUUUCUUGCUCUUUUGGUGUCAUAUUCAAGAUCCCAUGUCAUGUAAUAUUCUUCUAUGGUUCUUCUAUGGUUUUUCUAAAAAAUAUUAAAGUUAUAGAUCUUACAUUUAUUGUGUGAUACAUUUUGAGUUAAGUUUUGUAUGGGGAUUAUGGUAAGGGCCCAACUGCAUCUUUGUGCAUGUGUAUAUCCAGCUUCCCAAAAAUCAUUGGUUGAAAUGAUUGUCCUUUUCCAAUAAAAGCAUCCUGUUACCCUUGUUGAAAGUGACUACCGGCUGGGUGUGGUGCCUCACGCCUGUAAUCCAAGCACUUUGGAGGCCAAGGCAGGUGGACCACCUGAGGUCAGGAGUUCAGGACCAGCCUGACCAACAUGGUAAAACCCUGUCUUUAAAAAAAAAAAAAAUAGGCCGGGUACAGUGGCUCAUGCCUAUAAUCCCAGCACUUUUGGAGGCAGAGGUGGGUGGAUCACAAGGUCAAGAGAUCAAGACCAUCCUGGUCAACAAGGUGAAACCCUGUCUCUACUAAACAUUCAAAAAUUAGCUGGGCAUGGUAGUGCACGCCUGUAGUCCCAGCUACUCAGGAGGCUGAGGCAGGAGAAUUGCUUGAACCCAGGAGGCGGAAGUUGCAGUGAGCCGAGAUCGCACCACUGCACUCUAGCCUAGGUAACAACAGCAAAACUCCGUCUCAAAAACAAAAACAAAACAAAAGACAAAAAAAGAAAAAAGAAAAGAAAAUGACCACCUAUGUACAUGUUUACUUUUUGGCUCUCCUUUGUAUUUGAUUGAUUUCUACAUCUGCCCUUAAGCCAGCACCACACCGUUUUGAUUAUUCUCGUUUCUUAAAGUGGUUAUACUUGUGACACAUUAAAACAGACACUUAUAAAGUCACUUUUAGACAUUACAUAUCUUGGAUCCGACGUUGUUACUUUUUUCACGACUUACAUGAACACUCUUCCUCAUCAACAUGCCUAUAUCUUGAGAAACAGAGAUACAUGCUUUAAUCAGCUAUGCUGGGGAAGAGGUCACCAUGAGAUAGAAGACACUUCUCAGUGUCCAGGAAACACUUCUUGGUCUCUUUCUUUCCAACCAUGACUCCCAUCACAACUCACACUCUCCAUAUUACACUUUUUUUUUUAUUGCAUUUUAGGUUUUGGGGUACAUGUGAAGAACAUGCAAGAUAGUUGCAUAGGUACACAAGUGGCAGUGUGAUUUGCUGCCUUCCUCCCUUCACCUAUAUCUGGCAUUUCUCCCCAUGCUAUGUCUCCCCAACUCCCCACCCCCCGCUGUCCCUCCCCUAUUUUCCCCAACAGACCCCAGUGUGUAGUGCUCCCCUCCCUGUGUCCAUGUGUUCUCGUUGUUCAACACCCACCUAUGAGUGAGAACACUUUCUGCUGUCACCAAUACAGAGUCAUUAAAGAAAGCUUAGAUUCUGUUUUCAUUUCCCUGUAGUUCACUAUCCUCAAAAUAAAUGCUUAGCUGAAGGUGAGUGCCUGUUAUGGUCUAGACUACCUUGCAAAAAGGCUCCGUUUAAGGAGCCAGGCCUUUACCUCCACCUUAGCCUAUGCUGUGCUGCCAGAACAGACUGACUUAUAACAAAUAGAAAGUUAUUUGGCACAAUUCUGGAGGCCGGAUUAUCUAUGAACAUAGUGCUAGCAUGCUUCCAGGGCCUUUGUUCUGCAUCAUUUCAUGGCAGAAAGAGGAAGGGCAAGGAGUGAAAAAAAUCGAGAGAGCAAGAUCGGGCCACACUUGCUUUUAUAAUAAACUUACUCUCACAAUGACUGACCCAAUCCGGUGAAAAGGGCAUUGAUCUCAUUGUAGUGUAGAGCCCUCAUGACAUAAUUACCUUGUAUUUCAUCCCACCGCAGAACACUUGCACUGGCAUUAGCUUUCCAACACAUGAACUUUGGGGCAUAGAUUCAAAACGUAGCAACCACCAAAGGGAAUGGGAGGAAAUAUCACAAAGAUCCACGAGAAAUAAUGUCCUCUUAGUUCUUGCAGUCGUAACUCGGCCUAUUUGCUUACACACUCAUUUCUGUACUCUCUUCACACACAUAUUUUCAGCAUCCUCUCUAUGCCUGUUCCCAUUAAGUUGGCAUCCCCAACUCCCUCAUCAACAUUUCUCUCCACACGACAGAAAAAUUUGCAUUGAAUUUUCAGGUGGGGUAGACACUUAGUAUUCAUUCUUUAUUCCAUUUAGUAGGUAGUUUCUGUUGUCAAAAGAUGAUCCAGAUACUUUCCUCUUUUGUAGCUUCCCAGAGCUCACAGAUAUUUUCAGAACAGAGUGCAAAUCUUUUAUAUUGGCAUUCCAGGUUUUUCUAAUAGAAAUCUGGCCUUGAUGAUGCUUCUUCUGAGAACUUCUUAUCUCAUUCUGUGCUUCCAAAAUAAUGACAUAUUAAUGUAGCAGCAAAACCAUGUUGUGUCAUAUCGCUUCUGUUUUUUAAUACUGUUUGUCACAUUUGCUUAAUUCUCACUUCUCCAUGUAGAUAAACAAGCAUUUUCAUAUUCAGAAUCAUUGUGAACUCCUAUUGAAUUACUCCCAAAGUUAUGUUGUCUCUAUUUAUGGGGAAAGGGUGUGAUUUUAAUAAUUAUUGAGUGGAAAGGGUACAAUUUUAGUAAUUAUUGCGUCCCGUGGAAGAAGAGGUCAUUUGAUGGAAACCUCUUUAAUUUGCAUUCAUUAGUUCAUAGGCAAUACAUUGUUUUCUCCUAAGUGGUUCUCCAGAUGUGCAGCAAAGCAGAUAAUCACGGCUUUUGUAGAGGGAAAAGUACUGUGAUUCGGCCAUCUUGGUAGGAAUACCGAGAAGUUGAGAAUGGAGGGAGGAGCCAGUUGCUGCAGACAAACUCUCCAAAGAAAUAAAAAUAGGUAUCUGGCUGGUUUCAGCAAUGAUAUAAACCAAUGACUGCUGUCUGUUUCCUGUUGCCACUGUAAAAUAGAUUUGUUCAUUGCAUUUUUCCUGUCUGUUUCAGGAUUGUUUGUUGGAUUUUUAUACAGCAGAUAUACAAAUAUCUUUACUGAACAUGUUGAGAGAAAGUGCACCUGAUAAUUUGUACUCACCUCAUGAACACCAGGUCCUGAUUUAGACAAUAAGAUACUGAACUUCAGUUGUUGGCAAACCUGACUCUUGUCCUCUCACUCUCCUGCCCAGACAACAUGCGCUUCACCACUUGCUCCAUUUUCUACACCAACUCCGGUCCCUGGGCUCCGUCUAAGUGCCCAGCUUUGGCGCCCAGCAGGUCAGCUGCACAGCCACUGUCUAUGCAGGCGCUGGGGGCUCUGGUUCCUGCAUGUUCAUGUCCUGCUUCACCAGCUUCCAGGGUGGCACAGGGUCUGGAGACCUAGCCACAGAGAUGGCCGGGGGUCUGGCAGGAAUGUGAGGCAUCCAGAGCAAGAAGGAGACCAUGCAAAGCCUGAACGACCACCUGGCCUCCUACCUGGACAUAGUGAGGAGCCUGGAGCUGGAGAACAGGAAGUCGGAGGGCAAAAUCUGGGAGCACCUGAAGAAGGAAUCCCAGGUCAGAGACUGGAGCCAUGACUUCAAGACCAUCAAGGACCUGAGGGCUCAGAUUUUUGCAAAUACCAUGGACAAUACCCGCAUCAUUCUGCAGAUCAACAAUGUCCAUCUUGCUGCUGAUGACUUUAGAGUCGAGUAUGAGACAGAGCUGGCCAUGUGCCAGUCUGUGGAGAGCAACAUCCAUGGGCUCUGCAAGGUCAUUGAUGACACCAAUGUCACGUGGCUGCAGCUGGAGACAGAGAUUGAGGCUCUCAAGGAGGAGCUACUCUUCAUGAAGAACCAUGAAGAGGAAGUAAAAGGCUUACAAGCCCAGAUUGCCAGCUCUGGAUUGACUGUGGAGGUAGAUGCCCCCAAAUCUCAGGACCUCGCUAAGAUCAUGGCAGACAUCAGGCUCCAUAUGACGAGCUGGAUCGGAAGAAUCCAGAAGAAUUGGACAAGUAUCGGUCUCAACAGAUUGAGAAGAGCACCACAGAGGUCACCACGCAGUCCGCCGAGGUUGGAGCUGCUGAGACGGCACUCAUGGAGCUGAGACAUACGGUCCAGUUUUUGGAGAUUGACCUGGACUCCACGAGAAAUCUGAAGCCCAGCUUGGAGAACAGUCUGAGGGAGGUGAAGGCCAACUACGCCCUGCAGGUGGAGUGGCUCAACGGGAUCCUUCUGCACCUGGAGUCAGAGCUGGCACAGGCCCGGGCAGAGGGACAGUACCAGGCCCAGGAGUGCGCAGCCCUGCUGGACAUUAAGGUCAGGCUGGAGGCUGAGAUCGCCACCUACCACCGUCUGCUGGAAGAUGGUGAAGAGUUCAAUCUUGGUGAUGCCCUGGAUAGCAGCAAAUCCAUGCAAACCAUCCAGAAGCCACCAACCGCCGGUCUGAGACCAAGUGGUGUCUGAGACUGACAUCAAAGUUCUGAGACAUUAAGCCAGCAGAACCAAAAGACCCUUUGAGGAGCAGGAGGCCAAUAAAAAGUUCAGAGGUGAGGCCGGGCGCAGUGGCUCAAGCCUGUAAUCCCAACACUUUGGGAGGCCGAGGCGGGUGGAUCACGAGGUGAACAGAUCGAGACCAUCCUGGUCAACAUGGUGAAACCCCGUCUCUACUAAAAAUAAAAAAUAAUUAGCUGGGCACGGUGGCACAUGCCUGUAAUCCCAGCUACUCAGGAGGCUGAGGCAGGAGAAUUGCCUGAACCCAGGAGGCGGAAGUUGCGGUGAGCCGAGAUCGCGCCAUUGCACUCCAGCCUGGGCAACAAGAGCGAAACUCCAUCUCAAAAAAAAAAAAAGUUCAGAGGUGAAAAGAAAAGAAUACUGCACUUGACUGGAAGCCUGUUCCUGUAUUGUAUUGGUUUCUGUGGCUUUUUAAAACAUAAGCGUUUUUGGUAUGUGGAAACCGUAUGAGCCAGUGGGGGCUAAGUGGAACUCGUUUCCAAAAAUGGCCCCAUUAUGAUGACAAGUCAAAAGGACCACGGUUUGUAGAAUUCCCUCCCCUUAAUUUGAGCUGUCUGUGUGACACCAUGAUCAAUAUACUGUCAUAGAAGUCACACUGCCUGCCUUUCAAAGCUAAGGCCUAUGAUGCCUGGCACCUUCUUCCUGAGACUUUUGGAAGCCUUUUUUUGGUGGAAGCCAAUCAUUGAUUAAGUUGAAUAACUAUGGUACCAUCAUGAGUUCAGGAAAUUCAAGGCACUAAUGAGAAGGUGAGGAAGAGAAGAAAAUAACCAGCCAGACCCCAGGUGUUCAGCCACCCUAGUGUUGAGUUAGACAUGACUGAAGCAUCUUCCAAAAUCUCUGACAAUAGAUCUUUCUGAAAUCAAGACACGCACCGCAUGAUCUGUCACCUACAUGAGUGCACCAAACCUACAAAGCUGACAGAAAUCAGAAUAAAUGAUAGAUUUAAGCCAACGUGUGUUGGGAGCUUUGCUGUGCUGUAAUGCCAACAGUAACAGCAGAAGAGCAGGUGUGUUCAGUGUGUCCAUGCAUAGGAGUUGUGUCCAUUCCACUAAGAAAUCACUUCUUUUCUGAGGUAAAACCACGACCAUUUGUUUACAAAGAGAAAGCUCAGGAUGCUGCCCACAUAAAAUGGAAAAACCUGAAAAUUCUUUUGAAAAACAAAACUGGAUUCUUUAAAGGAAAUCAUUGAACUGUGGUUCUCUAACUAUUGCUUGGAUUGAAAACUUCCGAUGUAAACUUUCUCAACAUUUUCUUUUAAUUCCUUCAGUGCAUCCCACACGAAUCCAAGCAGUUUUGAGACACAAGACAUAUUCUUAGAAUGAGUGAAGAAUUAAGGUAUUUCACUUGAAGUUUGUCCCCAAAACCAGUUAUGCCUGUGUGGUUGUAAACAGAUACCUAACACGUCACUGCAAUGACACAUCUAAGAUGAAGGAAGAAUUUUGGUUUAUAGUGUCUGACAUAAAAUAUGGGUUGUAGAAGAUGUUCAUUUUGUCAUCUCAGACACUCCAGUGGCCUUGUGACACUGCUUGUGUCUCUUGUGUCCUUGUGCCACUUUGUCUUUUUCCCCAUUGAAAUUAAAACCAGAUGAUGAAAAA